This 494-nucleotide ribosomal RNA is filed under the name uncultured bacterium. RNAcentral's name for it is "partial 16S ribosomal RNA". It matches the Rfam family "Bacterial small subunit ribosomal RNA", at positions 28 to 507 of the family's 1533-position model. The record is from RNAcentral.
GACGAACGCUGGCGGCGUGCUUAACACAUGCAAGUCGAACGGUGAAGCGCCUUCCUUUUUGGUGGGUGUGGAUGAGUGGCGAACGGGUGAGUAACACGUGAGUAACCUGCCCCCUUCUUCUGGAUAACCGCAUGAAAGUGUGGCUAAUACGGGAUAUUCUGGGUCUGUCGCAUGAUGGGUCUGGGAAAGAUAUUGUUUCGGUGGGGGAUGGGCUCGCGGCCUAUCAGCUUGUUGUUGGGGUGAUGGCCUACCAAGGCGGUGACGGGUAGCCGGCCUGAGAGGGUGGACGGUCACACUGGGACUGAGACACGGCCCAGACUCCUAAGGGAGGCAGCAGUGGGGAAUAUGGCACAAUGGGCGCAAGCCUGAUGCAGCGACGCCGCGUGAGGGAUGGAGGCCUUCGGGUUGUGAACCUCUUUCGCCAGUGAAGCAGGCCUGCCUCGUUUGUGGGUGGGUUGACGGUAGCUGGAUAAGAAGCGCCGGCUAACUACGUG